This 253-nucleotide ribosomal RNA is filed under the name uncultured bacterium. RNAcentral's name for it is "partial 16S ribosomal RNA". It matches the Rfam family "Bacterial small subunit ribosomal RNA", at positions 524 to 776 of the family's 1533-position model. The record is from RNAcentral.
UACGUAGGGUGCGAGCGUUGUCCGGAAUUAUUGGGCGUAAAGAGCUCGUAGGCGGUUUGUCACGUCUGCUGUGAAAUCCCGAGGCUCAACCUCGGGCCUGCAGUGGGUACGGGCAGACUGGAGUGCGGUAGGGGAGAUUGGAAUUCCUGGUGUAGCGGUGGAAUGCGCAGAUAUCAGGAGGAACACCAAUGGCGAAGGCAGAUCUCUGGGCCGUAACUGACACUCAGGGACGAAAGCUAGGGGAGCGAAUGGG